Long non-coding RNA from Raphanus sativus (radish), 664 nucleotides. RefSeq lists it as uncharacterized. The record is from RefSeq and is a predicted model, not a curated record. NCBI's taxonomy places the organism in Eukaryota, Viridiplantae, Streptophyta, Magnoliopsida, Brassicales, Brassicaceae. The transcript is spliced from 4 exons.
GACUUUUGUCUGCAGCAAACAAGUCCCAACGCAUCUGAGAGACUCCAUUCGCGACUCUGGAAGAUUUUGGCUCGUUUAGAGGUGCAAGCUUAUGCUAUUUUCGUGCUCCUAGACUCUAGUCCUGACGCUGAUUCGCUAAGCUUGGAUUGACAAUCAUGGAAGCGAAGAAUGUGACAGAUGAGACAUGGAGGAGGAGAGAGAGAGAGAUUGUAACAAGCGUGAUGAGGAUAGUGAGCAAGAGAUUGACCUCAGAAGGAUCUAAUAUCUCUCCUUCUCGGAGCUAUAACUAGCAUCUGUCCCAAGCUAAAAGUUAUAUCUAUCUACUGGAACGUUAGGUGACUGAUGAUCGCAUUAGACAUCUAGUGAAGAAUUACAGAAACAUCAUUGAUCUGAACCUAAGUGGCUGCAAAAGGUAUCUUGAUUCGAUUUCCUCAGGCUUGUUUGGGAUAGUUGGAGUAACUGAUAAAUGUCUGGAGACUCUCUCCAAAACCUGCUCUGCUACACUCACCACUCUUGAUGUCUGCAUCGGUGUUAAGUUGUUAUACAGAGGCGAAGCCGUGAAGAACUGCUUCAGAUGUUCCCUCGUCUGACAUGCUUCAAAGUACACAGCUAAUUUGCUCUUAACUUCAGGACUCUCACCAACGUUUAGCCCCCAUACUAAAGG